CCCUGCCUCACAUCCGUUUGUGGUUUGUAAAGAGAGAGAGGAGAGGAAAAAAAAAAAAAUCUCUUCCAAAAAAGCACCGGUCUGCAGAUGUCUGCGAGAGAACCCACGAACCCUCCUUCUUCUACGGCAGGGCAGAUGUCUUUUGCUGCAGAUUUUUUUUGUUUUCGUUUAUAUUCACAAGGUUUCUGUGAAGAGAGGGAUGUUUCUUAAAUCUCCAGGCAAGCAUUUUCCGCACAUUUACCUGCUCCUGUGCACUUUUGCUCCAUGAUGGAUCCACGCUGUGGUAU
Molecule: long non-coding RNA, 287 nt
Filed under: Parus major (Great Tit)
Lineage: Eukaryota; Metazoa; Chordata; Aves; Passeriformes; Paridae
Description: lncRNA (ENSPMJG00000015728.1)
Source: RNAcentral